RNAcentral lists this small nuclear RNA (141 nucleotides) under Neogale vison (American mink). RNAcentral's name for it is "Neovison vison (American mink) U4 spliceosomal RNA (ENSNVIG00000000623.1)". It matches the Rfam family "U4 spliceosomal RNA". Rfam says of the family: U4 small nuclear RNA (U4 snRNA) is a component of the major U2-dependent spliceosome. The structure of U4 snRNA from yeast and human has been reported. The record is from RNAcentral. Lineage: Eukaryota; Metazoa; Chordata; Mammalia; Carnivora; Mustelidae.
GUUUUGCACAGUGGCAGUAUCAUAGCCAAUGAGGUUUAUCUGAGGUGAGAUUAUUGCUAAUUAAAAAAUAAUGUGUAAAACCAGUUUUCAUAAAUUAAAUAAUUUUUUUGAAACUACUAUAUGCACUCUAAAGAAAAUAGA